UUCCAGACUCCUACGGGAGGCAGCAGUGAGGAAUAUUGGUCAAUGGGCGAGAGCCUGAGCCAGCCAAGUCGCGUGAGGGAAGACGGUCCUAUGGAUUGUAAACCUCUUUUGCCGGGGAGCAAAAAGCGGUACGUGUACCGCAUCGAGAGUACCCGGAGAAAAAGCAUCGGCUAACUCCGUGCCAGCAGCCGCGGUAAUACGGAGGAUGCGAGCGUUAUCCGGAUUUAUUGGGUUUAAAGGGUGCGCAGGCGGCGAGUUAAGUCGGGGGUAAAAUUUGGGGGCCCAACCCCGACGAGCCGUUGAAACUGGCUUGCUAGAGUGGGCGAGAAGUAUGCGGAAUGCGUGGUGUAGCGGUGAAAUGCAUAGAUAUCACGCAGAACUCCGAUUGCGAAGGCAGCAUACCGGCGCCCAACUGACGCUCAGGCACGAAAGCGUGGGUAUCGAACAGGAUUAGAUACCCUCGUAC
Molecule: ribosomal RNA, 466 nt
Filed under: uncultured bacterium
Lineage: Bacteria
Description: bacterial SSU rRNA
Rfam family: Bacterial small subunit ribosomal RNA
Source: RNAcentral